GAUGAACGCUGGCGGCGUGCCUAAUACAUGCAAGUCGAGCGAACAGACGAGGAGCUUGCUCCUCUGACGUUAGCGGCGGACGGGUGAGUAACACGUGGAUAACCUACCUAUAAGACUGGGAUAACUUCGGGAAACCGGAGCUAAUACCGGAUAAUAUAUUGAACCGCAUGGUUCAAUAGUGAAAGACGGUUUUGCUGUCACUUAUAGAUGGAUCCGCGCCGCAUUAGCUAGUUGGUAAGGUAACAGCUUACCAAGGCAACGAUGCGUAGCCGACCUGAGAGGGUGAUCGGCCACACUGGAACUGAGACACGGUCCAGACACCUACGGGAGGCAGCAGUAGGGAAUCUUCCGCAAUGGGCGAAAGCCUAACGGAGCAACGCCGCGUGAGUGAUGAUGGUCUUCGGAUCGUAAAACUCUGUUAGUAGGGAAGAACAAAUGUGUAAGUAACUAUGCACGUCUUGACGGUACCUAAUCAGAAAGCCACGGCUAACUACGUG
This 497-nucleotide ribosomal RNA is filed under the name uncultured bacterium. RNAcentral describes it as "partial 16S ribosomal RNA". It matches the Rfam family "Bacterial small subunit ribosomal RNA", at positions 28 to 507 of the family's 1533-position model. The record is from RNAcentral.